Molecule: ribosomal RNA, 617 nt
Filed under: Colpochila sp. BMNH 670928
Lineage: Eukaryota; Metazoa; Arthropoda; Insecta; Coleoptera; Scarabaeidae
Description: partial 16S large subunit ribosomal RNA
Rfam family: Bacterial large subunit ribosomal RNA
Source: RNAcentral
UUUAAAGUCUGACCUGCCCACUGAGGAGUUAAAUGGCCGCGGUACUUUGACCGUGCAAAGGUAGCAUAAUAAUUAGUUUUUUAAUUGAAAGCUGGAAUGAACGGUUGGACGAGAAAAUGACUGUCUCGGUUUAAUUUUAUUAGAAUUUUAUUUUUGAGUUAAAAAGCUUAAAUUUUUUUAAAAGACGAGAAGACCCUAUAGAGUUUUAUAUUUGUUGUUAUUAUUAUUGUUUAGUUAAUUUAUUUAAUGAUAUCAAUUAUUAUUUGGUUGGGGUGAUUGAAAAAUUAGAUAAACUUUUUUUAUUAUUGAUUCAUUAAUAUAUGUUUUUUUGAUCCAUUAUUUAUGAUUAAAAGAUUAAAUUACCUUAGGGAUAACAGCGUAAUUAUUUUUGAGAGUUCUUAUCGAAGAAAUAGGUUGCGACCUCGAUGUUGGAUUAAAAUUAACUUUUGGUGUAGGGGCUAAAAGGUUAGGUCUGUUCGACCUUUAAAAUUUUACAUGAUCUGAGUUUAAACCGGCGUGAGCCAGGUUGGUUUCUAUCUUUAAAAAUAAUAAAUAUUUUAGUACGAAAGGACCAGAUAUUUGUAAUAUUUAUUAGUAUUGGAUUUUUAUUAAUUAUA